GCUCCACCGAAAGAAAAAGAGUGGCGAACGGGUGAGUAACACGUGGGUAACCUGCCCAUCAGAAGGGGAUAACACUUGGAAACAGGUGCUAAUACCGUAUAACACUAUUUUCCGCAUGGAAGAAAGUUGAAAGGCGCUUUUGCGUCACUGAUGGAUGGACCCGCGGUGCAUUAGCUAGUUGGUGAGGUAACGGCUCACCAAGGCAACGAUGCAUAGCCGACCUGAGAGGGUGAUCGGCCACACUGGGACUGAGACACGGCCCAGACUCCUACGGGAGGCAGCAGUAGGGAAUCUUCGGCAAUGGACGAAAGUCUGACCGAGCAACGCCGCGUGAGUGAAGAAGGUUUUCGGAUCGUAAAACUCUGUUGUUAGAGAAGAACAAGGAUGAGAGUAGAACGUUCAUCCCUUGACGGUAUCUAACCAGAAAGCCACGGCUAACUACGUGCCAGCAGCCGCGGUAAUACGUAGGUGGCAAGCGUUGUCCGGAUUUAUUGGGCGUAAAGCGAGCGCAGGCGGUUUCUUAAGUCUGAUGUGAAAGCCCCCGGCUCAACCGGGGAGGGUCAUUGGAAACUGGGAGACUUGAGUGCAGAAGAGGAGAGUGGAAUUCCAUGUGUAGCGGUGAAAUGCGUAGAUAUAUGGAGGAACACCAGUGGCGAAGGCGGCUCUCUGGUCUGUAACUGACGCUGAGGCUCGAAAGCGUGGGGAGCGAACAGGAUUAGAUACCCUGGUAGUCCACGCCGUAAACGAUGAGUGCUAAGUGUUGGAGGGUUUCCGCCCUUCAGUGCUGCAGCAA
This 793-nucleotide ribosomal RNA is filed under the name Enterococcus casseliflavus. RNAcentral's name for it is "bacterial SSU rRNA". It matches the Rfam family "Bacterial small subunit ribosomal RNA", at positions 75 to 854 of the family's 1533-position model. Lineage: Bacteria; Bacillati; Bacillota; Bacilli; Lactobacillales; Enterococcaceae. The record is from RNAcentral.